RNAcentral lists this ribosomal RNA (702 nucleotides) under Triticum aestivum (bread wheat). Its description in RNAcentral is "partial small subunit ribosomal RNA". Lineage: Eukaryota; Viridiplantae; Streptophyta; Magnoliopsida; Poales; Poaceae. The record is from RNAcentral.
AUGUGCACCUCGAAAAGGGAUGGAGGUAUGGGUUUCCGCGACCUGACAGUGUUUAAUCAGGCUCUUCUUGCAAAGAAAGCCUGGCGUGUCUUACAAUUCCCAGAGGCGUUAGUGGCAAGAGUGCUCAAGGCACGCUACUUCAAAGAGGAAUCCAUUUUGAGCGCAACGUGUCCUGCUACAGCCUCAUACACUUACAGAAGUAUUUUGCAUGGCCGGGAUCUACUUCGCGAAGGCUUGGUGUGGAGAAUUGGAGACAGAUCCAAGGUGAGUAUACAUCACAGUAACUGGAUCCCAAGAGGCGGGUCCAUGAAGCCAUUGGGACAGACGUAUAUACCUGGCAUGACGAAGGUGGCAGAUCUCCUGUUGCCGGACGGAAGGAGCUGGGAUCGCGACCGAGUCAGGGAGAUGUUCACCCCGGAUGAUGCUAGCGACAUUUUGCAGAUUGUGGUGGGUGGUUUGGAUGCUGAUGACUACCAAGCUUGGAAUUUCACAAAGAAUGGAAUCUUCUCUGUUCGCUCAGCUUAUCACUUGAAAAUGGCCAUGCUCAGAUCGCGCUCCGGACGGCCGGAGUCAUCUAGCUCGGUGAACAAACACAAGGCGUAUAUGGCCCUCUGGGGCACGAAUGCACCGGGAAAGGCCAAGAUCCAUCUUUGGAGACUAAUUUCAAAUGGACUGGCAGUUGGAGCAGAGCUCCAUCGAUGA